This 22-nucleotide microRNA is filed under the name Parasteatoda tepidariorum (common house spider). RNAcentral describes it as "pte-miR-11961a-3p". Lineage: Eukaryota; Metazoa; Arthropoda; Arachnida; Araneae; Theridiidae. The record is from miRBase by way of RNAcentral.
UAUCACAAUAGUGCUAGACAUU